UACAGAGGUCUCAAGCGUUGUUCGGAAUCACUGGGCGUAAAGGGUGCGUAGGCCGCACGGUAAGUCAGAGGUGAAAUCCCGGAGCUCAACUUCGGAGUUGCCUCCGAUACUGCCGUGCUUGAGGACUGGAGAGGAGAUUGGAAUUCACAGUGGAGCAGUGAAAUGCGUAGAUAUUGUGAGGAACACUAGUGGCGAAGGCGAAUCUCUGGACAGUUCCUGACGCUGAGGCACGAAGGCCAGGGGAGCAAACGGG
This 253-nucleotide ribosomal RNA is filed under the name uncultured bacterium. RNAcentral's name for it is "partial 16S ribosomal RNA". It matches the Rfam family "Bacterial small subunit ribosomal RNA", at positions 524 to 776 of the family's 1533-position model. The record is from RNAcentral.